RNAcentral lists this ribosomal RNA (483 nucleotides) under uncultured bacterium. RNAcentral's name for it is "partial 16S ribosomal RNA". It matches the Rfam family "Bacterial small subunit ribosomal RNA", at positions 30 to 506 of the family's 1533-position model. The record is from RNAcentral.
AUUGAACGCUGGCGGCAGGCCUAACACAUGCAAGUCGAGCGGAUGAAGGGAGCUUGCUCCUGGAUUCAGCGGCGGACGGGUGAGUAAUGCCUAGGAAUCUGCCUGGUAGUGGGGGAUAACGUCCGGAAACGGGCGCUAAUACCGCAUACGUCCUGAGGGAGAAAGUGGGGGAUCUUCGGACCUCACGCUAUCAGAUGAUCCUAGGUCGGAUUAGCUAGUUGGUGGGGUAAAGGCCUACCAAGGCGACGAUCCGUAACUGGUCUGAGAGGAUGAUCAGUCACACUGGAACUGAGACACGGUACAGACUCCUACGGGAGGCAGCAGUGGGGAAUAUUGGACAAUGGGCGAAAGCCUGAUCCAGCCAUGCCGCGUGUGUGAAGAAGGUCUUCGGAUUGUAAAGCACUUUAAGUUGGGAGGAAGGGCAGUAAGUUAAUACCUUGCUGUUUUGACGUUACAAACAGAAUAAGCACCGGAUAACUUCGU